This 405-nucleotide ribosomal RNA is filed under the name uncultured bacterium. Its description in RNAcentral is "bacterial SSU rRNA". It matches the Rfam family "Bacterial small subunit ribosomal RNA", at positions 355 to 776 of the family's 1533-position model. The record is from RNAcentral.
UGGGGGAUAUUGCACAAUGGGGGAAACCCUGAUGCAGCGACGCCGCGUGAGCGAGGAAGUAUUUCGGUAUGUAAAGCUCUAUCAGCAGGGAAGAAAGCAGACGGUACCUGACUAAGAAGCACCGGCUAAAUACGUGCCAGCAGCCGCGGUAAUACGUAUGGUGCAAGCGUUAUCCGGAUUUACUGGGUGUAAAGGGAGCGUAGGCGGCCUCAUAAGUCCGAUGUGAAAGCCCGAGGCCCAACCACGGGACUGCAUUGGAAACUGUGGAGCUGGAGUGUCGGAGGGGCAAGCGGAAUUCCUAGUGUAGCGGUGAAAUGCGUAGAUAUUAGGAGGAACACCGGUGGCGAAGGCGGCUUGCUGGACGAUAACUGACGCUGAGGCUCGAAAGCGUGGGGAGCAAACAGG